Molecule: ribosomal RNA, 397 nt
Filed under: uncultured bacterium
Lineage: Bacteria
Description: bacterial SSU rRNA
Rfam family: Bacterial small subunit ribosomal RNA
Source: RNAcentral
AUUGAACGCUGGCGGCAUGCCUUACACAUGCAAGUCGAACGGCAGCACGGGAGCAAUCCUGGUGGCGAGUGGCGAACGGGUGAGUAAUAUAUCGGAACGUGCCCGGUCGUGGGGGAUAACGUAGCGAAAGCUACGCUAAUACCGCAUACGAUCUACGGAUGAAAGCGGGGGAUCGCAAGACCUCGCGCGAUUGGAGCGGCCGAUAUCAGAUUAGGUAGUUGGUGAGGUAAAGGCUCACCAAGCCGACGAUCUGUAGCUGGUCUGAGAGGACGACCAGCCACACUGGGACUGAGACACGGCCCAGACUCCUACGGGAGGCAGCAGUGGGGAAUUUGGACAAUGGGCGCAAGCCUGAUCCAGCAAUGCCGCGUGCAGGAUGAAGGCCUCGGUUGUAACU